GAGUUUGAUCCUGGCUCAGGAUGAACGCUGGCGGCGUGGUUAACACAUGCAAGUCGAACGUGAUCCGGAGCUUGCUCUGGUGAAAGUGGCGCACGGGUGAGUAACGCGUGGAUAACCUACCCUGGUAUCCGGGAUAACAUUCCGAAAGGGGUGCUAAUACCGGAUAAGCCCACGGGCUCUUUGGAGCUUGCGGGAAAAGGUGGCCUCUAUUUAUAAGCUACUGUAUCAGGAUGGGUCCGCGUACCAUUAGCUAGUUGGUAGGGUAAUGGCCUACCAAGGCUACGAUGGUUAGCUGGUUUGAGAGAAUGAUCAGCCACACUGGAACUGAGACACGGUCCAGACUCCUACGGGAGGCAGCAGUGGGGAAUUUUGCGCAAUGGGGGAAACCCUGACGCAGCAACGCCGCGUGAGUGAUGAAGGCCUUUGGGUCGUAAAGCUCUGUCAGAGGGGAAGAAAUGAUAUAGUGCUAAUACCACUUUAUCUUGACGGUACCCUCAAAGGAAGCACCGGCUAACUCCGUGCCAGCAGCCGCGGUAAUAC
Molecule: ribosomal RNA, 540 nt
Filed under: uncultured Geobacteraceae bacterium
Lineage: Bacteria; Pseudomonadati; Thermodesulfobacteriota; Desulfuromonadia; Geobacterales; Geobacteraceae
Description: bacterial SSU rRNA
Rfam family: Bacterial small subunit ribosomal RNA
Source: RNAcentral